RNAcentral lists this ribosomal RNA (523 nucleotides) under Apilactobacillus kunkeei. Its description in RNAcentral is "bacterial SSU rRNA". It matches the Rfam family "Bacterial small subunit ribosomal RNA", at positions 69 to 578 of the family's 1533-position model. The record is from RNAcentral. Lineage: Bacteria; Bacillati; Bacillota; Bacilli; Lactobacillales; Lactobacillaceae.
AUAAAUGAUUUUUGGAUUCGGAGCGAGUGGCGAACUGGUGAGUAACACGUGGGUAACCUGCCCCGAAGCGGGGGAUAACAUUUGGAAACAAGUGCUAAUACCGCAUAAUUAGUUGGAACCGCAUGGUUCCAACUUGAAAGAUGGCUCUGCUAUCACUUUGGGAUGGACCCGCGCCGUAUUAGUUAGUUGGUGAGAUAAAAGCCCACCAAGACGAUGAUACGUAGCCGACCUGAGAGGGUAAUCGGCCACAUUGGGACUGAGACACGGCCCAGACUCCUACGGGAGGCAGCAGUAGGGAAUCUUCCACAAUGGACGAAAGUCUGAUGGAGCAACGCCGCGUGAGUGAUGAAGGUUUUCGGAUCGUAAAACUCUGUUGUUAAAGAAGAACAAGUGUUAGAGUAACUGUUAACACUUUGACGGUAUUUAACCAGAAAGCCACGGCUAACUACGUGCCAGCAGCCGCGGUAAUACGUAGGUGGCAAGCGUUGUCCGGAUUUAUUGGGCGUAAAGCGAGCGCAGGCGG